UACAGAGGGUGCAAGCGUUGUUCGGAAUUAUUGGGCGUAAAGGGCGCGUAGGCGGUUCGGCAAGUCUCUAGUGAAAUCUCAGGGCUCAACUCUGAGUCUGCUGGGGAAACUGCCGGGCUUGAGUGUGGGAGAGGAGAGUGGAAUUCCUGGUGUAGCAGUGAAAUGCGUAGAUAUCAGGAGGAACACCGAUGGCGAAGGCAGGUCUCUGGGCUGACACUGACGCUCAUGCACGAAAGCGUGGGGAGCAAACAGG
Molecule: ribosomal RNA, 253 nt
Filed under: uncultured bacterium
Lineage: Bacteria
Description: partial 16S ribosomal RNA
Rfam family: Bacterial small subunit ribosomal RNA
Source: RNAcentral